UUGUAUUCCUCCGUACAAUUGGAAGGUAGUAGAUUCCUGAACUUUUUUGUCAAUGGUUUGGUGGAAUAUCCAUCAUGUGUCGUAUUUGCGAUUUUGAUGAACACGAACAGCAUCAGCAGAAAAAAGUUAACUAUAGGCUUCCAUUUGCUGGCUGGUAUACCAAUGAUACUGUCUGUUGUAUUGAUUAGUUUUAGAGAGAAACAUGAAAUAUUUGUAAAGCUGGCCAUCGCCUGUAGUUUUAUAGCCAAAACAGGUAUAGCAGGUUCCUACAAUGCAAUAUUCAUAUAUACACCAGAGACAUUUCCUACAAA
Molecule: long non-coding RNA, 311 nt
Organism: Mytilus californianus (California mussel)
Lineage: Eukaryota; Metazoa; Mollusca; Bivalvia; Mytilida; Mytilidae
Exons: 3
Source: RefSeq, a predicted model, not a curated record